RNAcentral lists this ribosomal RNA (439 nucleotides) under uncultured bacterium. Its description in RNAcentral is "partial 16S ribosomal RNA". It matches the Rfam family "Bacterial small subunit ribosomal RNA", at positions 339 to 795 of the family's 1533-position model. The record is from RNAcentral.
CUACGGGCGGCUCCAGUGGGGAAUAUUGCACAAUGGACGAAAGUCUGAUGCAGCAACGCCGCGUGGAGGAUGACACAUUUCGGUGCGUAAACUCCUUUUAUAUAGGAAGAUAAUGACGGUACUAUAUGAAUAAGCGCCGGCUAACUCCGUGCCAGCAGCCGCGGUAAUACGGAGGGCGCAAGCGUUACUCGGAAUCACUGGGCGUAAAGAGCGUGUAGGCGGAUAGAUAAGUUGGGAGUGAAAUCCUAUGGCUCAACCAUAGAACUGCUUCCAAAACUGUCUAUCUAGAGUAUGGGAGAGGUAGAUGGAAUUUCUGGUGUAGGGGUAAAAUCCGUAGAGAUCAGAAGGAAUACCGAUUGCGAAGGCGAUCUACUGGAACAUUACUGACGCUGAGACGCGAAAGCGUGGGGAGCAAACAGGAUUAGAUACCCGAGUAGUC